Molecule: long non-coding RNA, 364 nt
Organism: Vitis vinifera (wine grape)
Lineage: Eukaryota; Viridiplantae; Streptophyta; Magnoliopsida; Vitales; Vitaceae
Exons: 3
Source: RefSeq, a predicted model, not a curated record
GGUUAGUGAGAACAUUUUUCAAAACACAAUAGAUGGAUUCAUUAACCAAUUGGAAGCUUCAGCAUCAACUUCAAACCUCCAAAUUCGUCCAAGUUAUACCCUUCAAUCUAAGUCCAAGGCUAGCGAGAGUAUUUUUCACAACACAGUGGAUGGAUCCAUGGGUCAACUUGGUGCUUCAACAUCAACUUCACAAUUUCAAAUUCAUCCAACCAUUUCCGAGGUUAGUGAGCAUACUUUUCAAAACACAAUAAAUGGAUCCAUGAGCCAAUUGGGAGCUUCAACAUCAUUUUCACAAUUCCAAAUUCAUCCAUCUUAUGCCCCUCUAUCCAUGUAAGUAUGUACAAAUAUACAUAUCACAUACAUG